CCUACGGGAGGCAGCAGUGAGGAAUAUUGCGCAAUGGGGGAAACCCUGACGCAGCGACGCCGCGUGGAUGAUGAAGGCCCUUGGGUCGUAAAAUCUGUCCAGGUGGAAAGAAAUGUAUAUAUGCUAAUAUCGUAUAUAUUUGACGGUACCACCAAAGGAAGCACCGGCUAACUCCGUG
Molecule: ribosomal RNA, 178 nt
Filed under: uncultured bacterium
Lineage: Bacteria
Description: partial 16S ribosomal RNA
Rfam family: Bacterial small subunit ribosomal RNA
Source: RNAcentral